Molecule: microRNA precursor, 141 nt
Filed under: Olea europaea subsp. europaea
Lineage: Eukaryota; Viridiplantae; Streptophyta; Magnoliopsida; Lamiales; Oleaceae
Source: RNAcentral
AGAUUGAAAUGUAGCCGAAGAUGACUCUCCGACAUGACAACACCAAUGAAUAUUGUGUCCUAAUAAGAAAUACAAACAUUUUUCAUAUAAACAAACCUGUAAUUAGCUCGCCGGCAAGUCAUCCUUGGCUUCACCAUCCAU